This 30-nucleotide non-coding RNA is filed under the name Rattus norvegicus (Norway rat). Lineage: Eukaryota; Metazoa; Chordata; Mammalia; Rodentia; Muridae. The record is from RNAcentral.
UCCUGGCCUUGGACAGAAUCUGGUGCUGGU